CCGCGCUUGUGCGCGUGCGCGUGUGCGUACGUGCGUGCGCAUGCGUGCUGGGGGAGUCACGCCGCGCGUUCUCCCCCUGGAGAGGACCCGGCUGGGGUACCUCAGUUAGGAGGAGGUUCGUGGCUUUUGGUCCAUCACUCUUAAAACCAGCUGUGUAUAAAGCAGAAUUUAGAGGGGCGCCGAGGACCUGGAGGGAAGUCUCAGCCCGGAUUUAAAUCUUGCAAUCACCGCUGGGAAGCGAGCUGUAUCAUCUUGAGAAAUCAGACCACAGAGCUGGGCCUGCAGCUGGCAGGCUGGGUCAUCUUUAAUCGCUUAACCCUUCAUAUCAAAGGAUGGGUCGUAGCAGCAGAUUCCUCCUCAAGAAUUUGCCAUGGCAGAUUUUCUCAAGGAAGAUCUGGGAGUUAAAAUGAAGCAGAGUGUGUACAGCAAAAACCUUGCCUUGAAGGCAGAGUAUUUAUAUUUCUACCAAACUCCCAAGAAGCUGACCUUCGAAUCUGCACUGUCAUUGCUAAGGUCUUUUCCUGCCCACCCAGUGGCUAUGCCAAGUGGCUGGACUGGCCAUCACCAUGGUGCCUGAGAGUGAGAAUGACUGCUUCCUUAACAUAUUUGAAGAGCUAACCAGUCACUGGCUGGGAACAUUGGGAUGAGGAAGACCUAGUGUGAAUAUGAUCCAAAGCUGCCCAUGGAGUGAAUGAGAACAGAGGCCUGGAGGGACUGACUUACCUCAUGGAAAGUUCCAGAAGGAGAUUCAGGUCUGUGAGUAAAGUGCAGUGCCCCACUGGUACAAUAAUCACAGGACACAUUCCAGCAAUCUGGGCUGAAUCAGCAAUGGAGUACUGGGACAGAUAGCACUUAAUGAAUACAGAUGGAAAGUGUGUCUAAAGACACAGGAAGAGCUGAUAGCUCGGGACCUCCCCUUUGGUAUCUAGAAGGGUAAUUCCACGAAUCAAGAAGCACCUUGCCCUAGGAGGGGCUGGGCUAGCUUUCUUCCUCCCUUCCUCCUUUACUCCUUCAUCAGAUAACAUCAAAUAGCAACCAAUAGCUCUGCUGGGUCCUGGGGCAAUCUGGUGAACAAACAGACAAAAUUCUUGGAGCUCAGAGGGGAGCAAACUAAAAAUAACA
Molecule: long non-coding RNA, 1122 nt
Filed under: Canis lupus familiaris (dog)
Lineage: Eukaryota; Metazoa; Chordata; Mammalia; Carnivora; Canidae
Description: lncRNA (ENSCAFG00845004142.1)
Source: RNAcentral